Small nuclear RNA from Manis pentadactyla (Chinese pangolin), 106 nucleotides. The record is from RefSeq and is a predicted model, not a curated record. NCBI's taxonomy places the organism in Eukaryota, Metazoa, Chordata, Mammalia, Pholidota, Manidae.
GUGCUCACUUUGGCAGCACAUAUACCAAAACUAGAAUGACACAGAGAAGAUUAGCAUGGCCUUGUGCAAGGUUGACAUGCAAAUUCAUGAAGUGUUCCAUAUUUUU